CUCUUAUCAAGAGUGGCAGAGGGACUGGCCCGAUGACGCCCAGCAACCGUUCCGUUUGGAAUUGGUGCUAAAUCCUGCAAAACAAUUUAUUGUUUUGAAAGAUAAGAG
Bacillus sp. OV166 is the source of this 108-nucleotide non-coding RNA. The record is from Rfam. Lineage: Bacteria; Bacillati; Bacillota; Bacilli; Caryophanales; Bacillaceae.